RNAcentral lists this ribosomal RNA (210 nucleotides) under uncultured Bacteroides sp. RNAcentral's name for it is "partial 16S ribosomal RNA". It matches the Rfam family "Bacterial small subunit ribosomal RNA", at positions 296 to 503 of the family's 1533-position model. The record is from RNAcentral. Lineage: Bacteria; Pseudomonadati; Bacteroidota; Bacteroidia; Bacteroidales; Bacteroidaceae.
GAGGAAGGUCCCCCACAUUGGAACUGAGACACGGUCCAAACUCCUACGGGAGGCAGCAGUGAGGAAUAUUGGUCAAUGGGCGAGAGCCUGAACCAGCCAAGUAGCGUGAAGGACGACUGCCCUAUGGGUUGUAAACUUCUUUUAUAGAGGAAUAAAGUGCGGUACGCGUACCGCAUUGUAUGUACUUUAUGAAUAAGCAUCGGCUAACUC